RNAcentral lists this ribosomal RNA (432 nucleotides) under uncultured bacterium. RNAcentral's name for it is "partial 16S ribosomal RNA". It matches the Rfam family "Bacterial small subunit ribosomal RNA", at positions 29 to 507 of the family's 1533-position model. The record is from RNAcentral.
GCGCACGCUGGCGGCAGGCUUAACACCUGCAAGUCGAGCGGGCCCUUCGGGGUCAGCGGCGGACGGGUGAGUCACGCGUGGGAACGUGCCUUCUGGUCUGGAAUAACCCUGGGAAACUAGGGCUAAUACCGGAUACGCCCUUUUGGGGAAAGGUUUACUGCCGGAAGAUCGGCCCGCGUCUGAUUAGCUAGUUGGUGGGGUAACGGCCUACCAAGGCGACGAUCAGUAGCUGGUCUGAGAGGAUGAUCAGCCACACUGGGACUGAGACACGGCCCAGACUCCUACGGGAGGCAGCAGUGGGGAAUAUUGGACAAUGGGCGCAAGCCUGAUCCAGCCAUGCCGCGUGAGUGAUGAAGGCCUUAGGGUUGUAAAGCUCUUUUAUCCGGGACGAUAAUGACGGUACCGGAGGAAUAAGCCCCGGCUAACUUCGUG